ACAUGAAGAAGUUAAUAAAAUAUCAAACUUUGAAUUUGAAGAUAGUAGUUAGUUCUACUCUCAUGUA
Molecule: transfer RNA, 67 nt
Filed under: Goniodes ortygis
Lineage: Eukaryota; Metazoa; Arthropoda; Insecta; Psocodea; Philopteridae
Description: tRNA-Gln
Rfam family: tRNA
About the family: Transfer RNA (tRNA) molecules are approximately 80 nucleotides in length.
Source: RNAcentral